GGAAAGACCCCGUGAACCUUUACUACAGCUUUGCACUGGACUUUGAAUUUGCUUGUGUAGGAUAGGUGGGAGGCUUUGAAGCGUGGACGCCAGUCUGCGUGGAGCCAACCUUGAAAUACCACCCUGGCAACUUUGAGGUUCUAACUCAGGUCCGUUAUCCGGAUCGAGGACAGUGUAUGGUGGGUAGUUUGACUGGGGCGGUCUCCUCCUAAAGAGUAACGGAGGAGUACGAAGGUGCGCUCAGACCGGUCGGAAAUCGGUCGUAGAGUAUAAAGGCAAAAGCGCGCUUGACUGCGAGACAGACAGGUCGAG
This 312-nucleotide ribosomal RNA is filed under the name Vibrio cholerae. RNAcentral's name for it is "partial 23S ribosomal RNA". It matches the Rfam family "Bacterial large subunit ribosomal RNA", at positions 2082 to 2393 of the family's 2925-position model. Lineage: Bacteria; Pseudomonadati; Pseudomonadota; Gammaproteobacteria; Vibrionales; Vibrionaceae. The record is from RNAcentral.